RNAcentral lists this ribosomal RNA (840 nucleotides) under uncultured bacterium. Its description in RNAcentral is "bacterial SSU rRNA". It matches the Rfam family "Bacterial small subunit ribosomal RNA", at positions 26 to 898 of the family's 1533-position model. The record is from RNAcentral.
AGAAUCAACGCUGGCGGCGUGCCUAACACAUGCAAGUCGAACGAGAAAGUGGAGCAAUCCAUGAGUAAAGUGGCGCACGGGUGAGUAACACGUGACUAACCUACCCUUGAGUGGGGAAUAACUUCGGGAAACCGAGGCUAAUACCGCAUAAUACCCACGGGUCAAAGGAGCAAUUCGCUUAAGGAGGGGGUCGCGGCUGAUUAGUUAGUUGGCGGGGUAAUGGCCCACCAAGACGAUGAUCAGUAUCCGGCCUGAGAGGGCGCACGGACACACUGGAACUGAAACACGGUCCAGACUCCUACGGGAGGCAGCAGUGGGGAAUUUUGCACAAUGGGGGAAACCCUGAUGCAGCAACGCCGCGUGGAGGAUGAAGUCCCUUGGGAUGUAAACUCCUUUCGACCGGGACGAUAAUGACGGUACCGGUGGAAGAAGCCCCGGCUAACUCUGUGCCAGCAGCCGCGGUAAUACAGAGGGGGCAAGCGUUGUUCGGAAUUAUUGGGCGUAAAGGGUGCGUAGGCGGUGCGGUAAGUCUUUUGUGAAAUCUCCGGGCUCAACUCGGAGUCUGCAGGAGAAACUGCCGUGCUUGAGUAUGGGAGAGGUGAGUGGAAUUCCUGGUGUAGCGGUGAAAUGCGUAGAUAUCAGGAGGAACACCUGUGGCGAAAGCGGCUCACUGGACCAUAACUGACGCUGAUGCACGAAAGCUAGGGGAGCAAACAGGAUUAGAUACCCUGGUAGUCCUAGCCCUAAACGAUGAUUGCUUGGUGUAGCAGUACCCAAUCCUGCUGUGCCGCAGCUAACGCGUUAAGCAAUCCGCCUGGGGAGUACGGUCGCAAGGCUGAA